GAUAAUAAAAGUGUAGUAUUCUUUGGUUCAUCUAGACAAGAAAGGAAGCCUAUAAUUCUAUUGGGAACAUUUUUCUAUAGCUGAUCGACUGACAUUUGACAAUUUCUUUUUGACAAGUGGCUGACAUGACAUCUGACAAAUUCUUACUUGGUAUGAAAUAAUUUACACAGUAAAGUUCUUUAAUUUGUACCAUGCUUUAGUCAGUUGAUGCCAUCAAUUUAUAACAGGGAGUUAGAAAAUAGAAAUGAUAUCUAGGGUCCAAAACUUCAAAUAGUUAAAAUUUGCAAUACUAGGAG
This 296-nucleotide unclassified non-coding RNA is filed under the name Hevea brasiliensis (rubber tree). The record is from RNAcentral. Lineage: Eukaryota; Viridiplantae; Streptophyta; Magnoliopsida; Malpighiales; Euphorbiaceae.